AGUGAAAUUGUUUGAUCACAUGGUAGUUUAUUUUUGAUUAUCUGAGAAACCCCCAUACUAUUUUCCAUAGCAGCUGCACCAUUUUACAUUCCUACUAAUGGU
Molecule: microRNA precursor, 102 nt
Filed under: Marmota monax (woodchuck)
Lineage: Eukaryota; Metazoa; Chordata; Mammalia; Rodentia; Sciuridae
Source: RNAcentral